GCCCAGAUGAGCAUCGGCGAUCCGGUGUGCGCGGUUCAAGCCCGUAGUUGAUGAGAGUCCGAGUGAUUCAAUUCCACCUUAUGAGUG
Molecule: non-coding RNA, 87 nt
Organism: Trichonephila clavipes
Lineage: Eukaryota; Metazoa; Arthropoda; Arachnida; Araneae; Nephilidae
Source: the annotation of a GenBank genome assembly